RNAcentral lists this ribosomal RNA (497 nucleotides) under uncultured bacterium. RNAcentral's name for it is "partial 16S ribosomal RNA". It matches the Rfam family "Bacterial small subunit ribosomal RNA", at positions 28 to 507 of the family's 1533-position model. The record is from RNAcentral.
GAUGAACGCUGGCGGCGUGCCUAAUACAUGCAAGUCGAGCGAACGGACGAGAAGCUUGCUUCUCUGAUGUUAGCGGCGGACGGGUGAGUAACACGUGGAUAACCUACCUAUAAGAUUGGGAUAACUUCGGGAAACCGGAGAUAAUACCGGAUAAUAUUUUGAACCGCAUGGUUCAAAAGUGAAAGACGGUCUUGCUGUCACUUAUAGAUGGAUCCGCGCUGCAUUAGCUAGUUGGUAAGGUAACGGCUUACCAAGGCAACGAUGCAUAGCCGACCUGAGAGGGUGAUCGGCCACACUGGAACUGAGACACGGUCCAGACUCCUACGGGAGGCAGCAGUAGGGAAUCUUCCGCAAUGGGCGAAAGCCUGACGGAGCAACGCCGCGUGAGUGAUGAAGGUCUUCGGAUCGUAAAACUCUGUUAUUAGGGAAGAACAUAUGUGUAAGUAACUGUGCACAUCUUGACGGUACCUAAUCAGAAAGCCACGGCUAACUACGUG